AGCGGCGGAUGGGUGAGUAACACGUGGGGAACCUGCCCCUAAGUCUGGGAUACCAUUUGGAAACAGGUGCUAAUACCGGAUAAUAAAGCAGAUCGCAUGAUCAGCUUUUGAAAGGCGGCGUAAGCUGUCGCUAAGGGAUGGCCCCGCGGUGCAUUAGCUAGUUGGUAAGGUAACGGCUUACCAAGGCGACGAUGCAUAGCCGAGUUGAGAGACUGAUCGGCCACAUUGGGACUGAGACACGGCCCAAACUCCUACGGGAGGCAGCAGUAGGGAAUCUUCCACAAUGGACGCAAGUCUGAUGGAGCAACGCCGCGUGAGUGAAGAAGGUUUUCGGAUCGUAAAGCUCUGUUGUUGGUGAAGAAGGAUAGAGGUAGUAACUGGCCUUUAUUUGACGGUAAUCAACCAGAAAGUCAUGGCUAACUACGUGCCAGCAGCCGCGGUAAUACGUAGGUGGCAAGCGUUGUCCGGAUUUAUUGGGCGUAAAGCGAGCGCAGGCGGAAAAAUAAGUCUAAUGUGAAAGCCCUCGGCUUAACCGAGGAACUGCAUCGGAAACUGUUUUUCUUGAGUGCAGAAGAGGAGAGUGGAACUCCAUGUGUAGCGGUGGAAUGCGUAGAUAUAUGGAAGAACACCAGUGGCGAAGGCGGCUCUCUGGUCUGCAACUGACGCUGAGGCUCGAAAGCAUGGGUAGCGAACAGGAUUAGAUACCCUGGUAGUCCAUGCCGUAAACGAUGAGUGCUAAGUGU
RNAcentral lists this ribosomal RNA (743 nucleotides) under uncultured bacterium. Its description in RNAcentral is "bacterial SSU rRNA". It matches the Rfam family "Bacterial small subunit ribosomal RNA", at positions 94 to 823 of the family's 1533-position model. The record is from RNAcentral.